CGCCAGACUCCUACGGGAGGCAGCAGUGGGGAAUAUUGCACAAUGGGGGAAACCCUGAUGCAGCGACGCCGCGUGAGUGAAGAAGUAUUUCGGUAUGUAAAGCUCUAUCAGCAGGGAAGAAAAUGACGGUACCUGACUAAGAAGCCCCGGCUAACUACGUGCCAGCAGCCGCGGUAAUACGUAGGGGGCAAGCGUUAUCCGGAUUUACUGGGUGUAAAGGGAGCGUAGACGGCAUGGCAAGUCAGAUGUGAAAGCCCGGGGCUCAACCCCGGGACUGCAUUUGAAACUGUCAGGCUGGAGUGCAGGAGAGGUAAGUGGAAUUCCUAGUGUAGCGGUGAAAUGCGUAGAUAUUAGGAGGAACACCAGUGGCGAAGGCGGCUUACUGGACUGUAACUGACGUCGAGGCUCGAAAGCGUGGGGAGCAAACAGGAUUAGAUACCCGGGUAUC
This 448-nucleotide ribosomal RNA is filed under the name uncultured bacterium. RNAcentral describes it as "bacterial SSU rRNA". It matches the Rfam family "Bacterial small subunit ribosomal RNA", at positions 329 to 794 of the family's 1533-position model. The record is from RNAcentral.